Long non-coding RNA from Bubalus bubalis (water buffalo), 680 nucleotides. RefSeq lists it as uncharacterized. Lineage: Eukaryota; Metazoa; Chordata; Mammalia; Artiodactyla; Bovidae. The transcript has 3 exons. The record is from RefSeq and is a predicted model, not a curated record.
AAUUCUCUCACCUGGUCUUUUUUUUUAAUUCCCUCUCCUCGUCUAUUACUCCUUGUGUUGGAUAAGAAACUCCGUCACCUUGCAGGAAGCCACAGAGAAUGAAAAAAACAGGAGGUAUUGGAAAAUGGAUGAAGAAAUUUAACUUGUUGAUGCAUCUGUAAUGAGAACACAGAAAUAACCAUUGACUUCCAUGUUUGCUUUGGGCCAGAUGAAGGAAUUCAGAUUCUAUCCAUUAAUGACUGUGACUUUAUUUUUACUGUUCUCAUACAACUGCUUUCAGCUCUAAACUAACACCUUUCAAAUGAUGUAAACCAAUGUGAUGUGGAAAUUACUAGAAAGCAAAAGGAAUCAAGCACAGAGGAACAAUCUUUAUUCCUUUGAAAGAAGCAAUUGCAUAACUACAGAUGGAAAUUACAGAAGUCUUAUUUACCAAGGCGUUUCCCCUGUUGUUUCAAUAUUGGAAAUGAAAUCACUGUCAAGAGAGCUCUCAGAUACUACAUAUUUCAAAUGACACAGUCACUCUCAUUCUUUAUCUUCUUGCCCAGACAUAAUGCAUUUUCCACUGUUUCUAAUUCCAUUAAUGAGGAAAAAGACAUGCAAAUAAAUUCCUGUUAUAAAAAUAAUAAUGCUAUUCAGCAAACAUAUGGGUUGAAGACAAAAUAUGAUUAAAAAUAAACCAU